AACGCACCUUGCACCCUUUGGUAUUCCGAAGGGUACGCCCGUUUGAGUGUCAUUGUAAUCUCACUUCUACAACUUUAUUGUUGUUUGAAUGUGGACUUGGAUGUUGCCGUUUUAUCACGGCUCGUCUUAAAUGCCUGAGUGUACCCUGUUUUGCAGCGUAUCCAGUGUAAUAAACAUUUCACUAGAGUUGGUUGAAAGACCACGUUGACUAUAUGGGCUCUAUGCUUCAAACCGUCUGCCAUGUGGACAAUUUCUUGACAAUUUGACCUCAAAUCGGGUGGGACUACCCGCUGAACUUAA
This 300-nucleotide unclassified non-coding RNA is filed under the name uncultured Serendipita. RNAcentral's name for it is "sequence contains ITS2". Lineage: Eukaryota; Fungi; Basidiomycota; Agaricomycetes; Sebacinales. The record is from RNAcentral.